RNAcentral lists this ribosomal RNA (429 nucleotides) under Chloroflexota bacterium. RNAcentral's name for it is "Chloroflexi bacterium partial 16S ribosomal RNA". It matches the Rfam family "Bacterial small subunit ribosomal RNA", at positions 355 to 776 of the family's 1533-position model. Lineage: Bacteria; Bacillati; Chloroflexota. The record is from RNAcentral.
UGGGGAAUAUUGCACAAUGGGCGCAAGCCUGAUGCAGCCAUGCCGCGUGUAUGAAGAAGGCCUUCGGGUUGUAAAGUACUUUCAGUCGGGAGGAAGGUGGUAAGGUUAAUAACCUUAUCAAUUGACGUUACCGACAGAAGAAGCACCGGCUAACUCCGUGCCAGCAGCCGCGGUAAUACGGAGGGUACAAGCGUUAAUCGGAAUUACUGGGCGUAAAGCGCACGCAGGCGGUUGAUUGAGUCAGAUGUGAAAUCCCCGGGCUUAACCCGGGAAUUGCAUCUGAUACUGGUCAGCUAGAGUCUUGUAGAGGGGGGUAGAAUUCCAUGUGUAGCGGUGAAAUGCGUAGAGAUGUGGAGGAAUACCGGUGGCGAAGGCGGCCCCCUGGACAAAGACUGACGCUCAGGUGCGAAAGCGUGGGGAGCAAACAGG